AUGAGAAGCUUCGACUAAGGUUCGGCUCGAGCGUCAGCGAGAGAGCGUUGCCGCAGGCAACGACCCGAAGGGCGAAGCGCGCAGCGCUGAGUAAU
This 95-nucleotide small RNA is filed under the name Escherichia coli. RNAcentral describes it as "RtT RNA". It matches the Rfam family "RtT RNA", at positions 22 to 114 of the family's 130-position model. Rfam says of the family: This family represents a bacterial cis-regulatory element known as RtT RNA. The exact function of RtT is unknown although it is thought that it may be involved in changing the cellular response in relation to amino acid starvation. The record is from RNAcentral. Lineage: Bacteria; Pseudomonadati; Pseudomonadota; Gammaproteobacteria; Enterobacterales; Enterobacteriaceae.